UUAAGGGAAAGCCAUACCCGAAAU
This 24-nucleotide small nuclear RNA is filed under the name Arabidopsis thaliana (thale cress). RNAcentral's name for it is "snRNA_01848". Lineage: Eukaryota; Viridiplantae; Streptophyta; Magnoliopsida; Brassicales; Brassicaceae. The record is from RNAcentral.